UCUAUUUAUAUAGUUUAAAAAAAACCUUUCAUUUUCAUUGGAAAAAUAUAAUUAUAUUAUA
Molecule: transfer RNA, 61 nt
Filed under: Calochromus sp. UPOL MT0047
Lineage: Eukaryota; Metazoa; Arthropoda; Insecta; Coleoptera; Lycidae
Description: tRNA-Glu
Source: RNAcentral